AAUGUCUGAGAUUUAGAUGACGUCAGCUAUUUACAGCUGUUUUGCACAGAAAUGAACUUUCAGACACGAUGCAAUGCGUGUACGGAUACUUAUGUCAGAAAUAAUGUGAAAAGAGCUGGCUGUCUAGAUGUCCGAACUCGCUUGGCUAUAUUGGUUGUUUUGAAGCAUGUACGAGAUCUAGCGAAUCGCAGAGGUUUCAGUCAUUGGACUGCAGCCAUGUCGUGACAUCACCUUGAAGGGUCUUAAUCGAACGAAUCGACACUAACACAAUUGUUCGAGAAGGAAUAUAUGAAAGACAUUUGAUACCAAGAAAAAAAUAUAUCAUUGAUUACUGACCACCUAUGAGCACCUAAUCAGAACAACUGACCUAUGCCAACAAAAACAAAACAAAAAUACUAAGCGAUAUAUAUAUAUAUUGCGGCAUUUUCGAACAUUUUCAGAUACAACGGACUAUUUUGUCACUGAAAAGGUCGCAGCUUCGAGCGACGAAAAGUUUGACUCCGCAUUUCAA
This is a long non-coding RNA of Octopus bimaculoides (California two-spot octopus), 511 nucleotides long. RefSeq lists it as uncharacterized. NCBI's taxonomy places the organism in Eukaryota, Metazoa, Mollusca, Cephalopoda, Octopoda, Octopodidae. The record is from RefSeq and is a predicted model, not a curated record.